RNAcentral lists this ribosomal RNA (1343 nucleotides) under uncultured bacterium. RNAcentral's name for it is "16S ribosomal RNA". It matches the Rfam family "Bacterial small subunit ribosomal RNA", at positions 28 to 1378 of the family's 1533-position model. The record is from RNAcentral.
GACGAACGCUGGCGGCGUGCUUAACACAUGCAAGUCGAACGGAAAGGCCCUGCUUUUGUGGGGUGCUCGAGUGGCGAACGGGUGAGUAACACGUGAGUAACCUGCCCUUGACUUUGGGAUAACUUCAGGAAACUGGGGCUAAUACCGGAUAGGAGCUCCUGCUGCAUGGUGGGGGUUGGAAAGUUUCGGCGGUUGGGGAUGGACUCGCGGCUUAUCAGCUUGUUGGUGGGGUAGUGGCUUACCAAGGCUUUGACGGGUAGCCGGCCUGAGAGGGUGACCGGCCACAUUGGGACUGAGAUACGGCCCAGACUCCUACGGGAGGCAGCAGUGGGGAAUAUUGCACAAUGGGCGGAAGCCUGAUGCAGCAACGCCGCGUGCGGGAUGACGGCCUUCGGGUUGUAAACCGCUUUCGCCUGUGACGAAGCGUGAGUAACGGUAAUGGGUAAAGAAGCACCGGCUAACUACGUGCUAGCAGCCGCGGUGAUACGUAGGGUGCGAGCGUUGUCCGGAUUUAUUGGGCGUAAAGGGCUCGUAGGUGGUUGAUCGCGUCGGAAGUGUAAUCUUGGGGCUUAACCCUGAGCGUGCUUUCGAUACGGGUUGACUUGAGGAAGGUAGGGGAGAAUGGAAUUCCUGGUAGAGCGGUGGAAUGCGCAGAUAUCAGGAGGAACACCAGUGGCGAAGGCGGUUCUCUGGGCCUUUCCUGACGCUGAGGGGCGAAAGCGUGGGGAGCGAACAGGCUUAGAUACCCUGGUAGUCCACGCUGUAAACGGUGGGUACUAGGUGUGGGGUCCAUUCCACGGGUUCCGUGCCGUAGCUAACGCUUUAAGUACCCCGCCUGGGGAGUACGGCCGCAAGGCUAAAACUCAAAGGAAUUGACGGGGCCCCGCACAAGCGGCGGAGCAUGCGGAUUAAUUCGAUGCAACGCGUAGAACCUUACCUGGGUUUGACAUGGAUCGGGAGUGCUCAGAGAUGGGUGUGCCUCUUUUGGGGUCGGUUCACAGGUGGUGCAUGGCUGUCGUCAGCUCGUGUCGUGAGAUGUUGGGUUAAGUCCCGCAACGAGCGCAACCCUUGUUCACUGUUGCCAGCACGUUAUGGUGGGGACUCAGUGGAGACCGCCGGGGUCAACUCGGAGGAAGGUGGGGAUGACGUCAAGUCAUCAUGCCCCUUAUGUCCAGGGCUUCACGCAUGCUACAAUGGCUGGUACAGAGAGUGGCGAGCCUGUGAGGGUGAGCGAAUCUCGGAAAGCCGGUCUCAGUUCGGAUUGGGGUCUGCAACUCGACCUCAUGAAGUCGGAGUCGCUAGUAAUCGCAGAUCAGCAACGCUGCGGUGAAUACGUUCCCGGG